CUCCUAUUCCACCUUUUAUUUUAAACUUACUCUGUUAACCGCAGUAUUCUACACGGUCAUACGAAACAUAGGAGUUAUUAUGAAACAUAGAACUCCCAAGAACACUGUUUUCACUUAUAGAGCAUCACCCCUUUACGUAAUGCUUGGCGUCAUGAUAAUCAACAAAUCUCACCAGUUUGCCGUCCGCACCAUAGCCGUCCGCACCACGGCGUCAGACUCAGACCCUUCACAUUCCCAGUUCCCUCUGCGCCCCGUAAACCCUAGCCGCGAUUCAUGGCCCGCAAGCGCCGCGCGCCUUCGCCUCCUCCGCCUCCGCAGGAGGAGUCGUCCUCUGAGGAAUCUGGCUCCGAAGAGUUGGAGGAGCCUCCUCGCCUCCCCGAGCUCCGUAGUCCUCCGCAGGCCGCGGCCAACAACGCCGACUCGUCGGAGGCGGACACGGACUCCGACACCGACGCUCAAGCUUUCCAGAUGCGCCAGGUGCCCCGCUCCCUCACUAAGCAUACGCAUCCAGUUCCCCAGCCAGAAUCCGAUCCCGAAGAGGAGGAGGGCGAGUCAUCGGAGUCGGAGCAUGAGAACCCUGUGCCUGUGGUUCAGAAGAAGGCUGCGGCGGCGGCCGUGUUGUCCAAGGCAGAGCAGGAAAGGAAGAGACCCCCCUCGGAUCCUGCUCCUACCGGGAAGGCAAAAAAGAUGAAGGCUGUGGCUACCCCUCUUGCCAAGGCGAAGAAGGGCAAGGCCGAGCUAGAGAAGCCGGCGCCUGAGGCCACUCCAGCAGGAAAUGCAAAGAAGGGCAAAGCUGAGCUAGAGAAGCCGACGUUUGAUGCCAUUCCAGCAGGAAAGGCGAAGAAGGGCAAGGCCAAGGAGGCAGCUCCUGAGGCCACGCCCUCAGGCAAGGGGAAGAAGGAUGGGGACAAACUAGAGAAGUCAGCAGCGCUAGAUCCCUCACAUUCAGACAGCAAGUCUGAGAAGCCUGUGCGCCCCACAUGGGGGAAAGAUGAUGAGAUGAAGAUUUUGGAGGCCCUUGCUGCGCAUGUCAAGCGUGAGGGUGAGCUGCCAAAGACUGAUUUACUUCUUGCUAGUGUUCGUGACCACCUCGUCAGGAAGAACUGCACCUACUCAGAUAUCUAUGAGAAGGUGCGAAGGCUAAAGGAACGGUACAAGAAAGCAGCGAGCACGGGCAUUGUGCCAAGUAAAGAAGAUGGGCUCCAGAUGUAUAAUCUCUCAGAAGCAAUCUGGGGAGAGAAGGCAAUGGAGGCUGCUGCUGCCGUUACGUCUCAAAAGGGUGGUGCUGUUAUAAAGGGUAAGAAGGGCCAGGCUAACAAAGAGAAGAUGCUUGAAAAUGCAAAGAGUGACGUGACAAAGGAGUCUGCCCCUAGUACUGCCAAUCAAAGUGGUGAUUCUCAGAAAGCAAGUAAGAAGGGGCAAGCCAGGUUGUCAGAGGAGGCUACCACCACUGCCUCCCCAAGUAAGAGUAAGAAGCAGGAAAGUCACAAUGGGGAAUUAAACAAAGAUGAUGGUAAUUUGGCUAAGGGAAAGAAGGGGAAAACUGACAAAGGGAAGAUGGACAUAGAUAUGGAUCGUCUGACACCAAAGGAACCCGUAAAUGCAAAUCAGAAUGGUGGCAUUGUGAUUAGGAGUAAGGAAGGAGAAAUAAAUGAUGAGGGAACAGAAGGAGAUGCUAAUGUGCAAGGUGUGCACAGACGUUUUGGUGAGCUCCAGAAGUUGUAUUCCAACCUUGCUGUUUAUGUGGAGGAGAUUGAGACCCAUCAUCCGUGCGGGGAAACUCUGAAAAGAGUAUUUGAGUUCAUUGCUGAUGAGAAGGCAGAAGAUCUGGAAUCCAAGAUCAAGAAGCUAAGAGUAGCACAGGCGAAGGCGGAGGUCCGUCAAGGGAACAUAAAAAAGGAGGUUCUUAAUUUGAUGCUCAGCUUAGUGGACUAACCUUUCUGAAUUAAUGUGAUGGGCGGAUAGAAGAUUUGAUCAACAAAAGGUGAUGUGUGUUGAAUUUAUGGGAAAGAUGCGAGCAGUGAGCAUAUUUUGCAAUUUCAUGGUGUUGUGCACGCUGAAAUGGACUGAAGGAGUGGACUGCCAGGAGGAAAAAGGGCAGACCGUAAUUUCAGGAAACCAAGCAAGGGGCUACUGUUGGGGUUAGGGAGAAGGUACCUCACCUAAGGUUCAUCUUAACAUAAGCCAUUGUUUAAACAAACUUUCAAGAUUGAAGCGUAUGGAAAGAGCUUUGAAUCAAGACGAAGCUGGUCAAUGAGAGGUCGAAGCUAGGAGGCGUCGCCGAAGGAGAUACAUCUCUAGGACAUGUGAAUCUUCAGUAAAGGGGAACAGAACAAGAAGGUCAGAGAGAGAAAAUGUGUAUGAUAUUUCAUGCAAUUGUAUCCCCUAGUUCUAAAGAUAUUAGUAGGAAGGGCAUUCUUAUAACUUUAUGAAUAGAGGAACAAUACCGCUGCUAUAGGGAUUAGGCAUUUUGUAAUCUCGUGUCUACAUCUUCUUCCGAUAGAGCUACUUGUCUCAAUAGAUCUUCCGAAGGUAUAACGAUAAUGAAGCUUUAUUAUUAGCA
This is an RNA transcript of Zea mays, 2563 nucleotides long. RefSeq lists it as uncharacterized. The transcript has 4 exons. NCBI's taxonomy places the organism in Eukaryota, Viridiplantae, Streptophyta, Magnoliopsida, Poales, Poaceae. The record is from RefSeq and is marked validated.